UUAAGUCCCGCAACGAGCGCAACCCUUGUCAUUAGUUGCUACGAAAGGGCACUCUAAUGAGACUGCCGGUGACAAACCGGAGGAAGGUGGGGAUGACGUCAAGUCCUCAUGGCCCUUAUAGGUGGGGCUACACACGUCAUACAAUGGCUGGUACAAAGGGUUGCCAACCCGCGAGGGGGAGCCAAUCCCAUAAAGCCAGUCGUAGUCCGGAUCGCAGUCUGCAACUCGACUGCGUGAAGUCGGAAUCGCUAGUAAUCGUGGAUCAGCAUGUCACGGUGAAUACGUUCCCGGGUCUU
This 296-nucleotide ribosomal RNA is filed under the name uncultured Hydrogenophaga sp. RNAcentral's name for it is "partial 16S ribosomal RNA". It matches the Rfam family "Bacterial small subunit ribosomal RNA", at positions 1080 to 1382 of the family's 1533-position model. The record is from RNAcentral. Lineage: Bacteria; Pseudomonadati; Pseudomonadota; Betaproteobacteria; Burkholderiales; Comamonadaceae.